Molecule: non-coding RNA, 113 nt
Filed under: Zymomonas mobilis
Lineage: Bacteria; Pseudomonadati; Pseudomonadota; Alphaproteobacteria; Sphingomonadales; Zymomonadaceae
Description: TPP sequence
Rfam family: TPP riboswitch aptamer (THI element)
About the family: Vitamin B(1) in its active form thiamin pyrophosphate (TPP) is an essential coenzyme that is synthesised by coupling of pyrimidine and thiazole moieties in bacteria. The previously detected thiamin-regulatory element, thi box was extended, resulting in a new, highly conserved RNA secondary structure, the THI element, which is widely distributed in eubacteria and also occurs in some archaea.
Source: RNAcentral
AGCACAUCCCCGGGGGGCUCUAUAUAAUAGGGCUGAGAAUUGGCUGAGUUGCCAUAACCCGUCGAACCUGAUCCGGCUCUGAAACCGGCGUAGGGAGGGAAGGUAUCAGACCU